CGGACACCUGCUAGGGGAGAAAGCACAAAAAAAAACUCCCGGAAAGAAGCUGAAUUAGUCAUGUGCAUCAAUAAAAUGUGAAUUAUAACUAUAAAAAUACAUGGUUACAAUUUGGGUGGAGGUUAUACUAAAAAACAAAUCCGUUUAAAAGACUGGAAUCAAUAAACAGAAGGAUAAAACUAAUUAAUUUGAUAAUGGGGAGAUCAGAAUAAUGAAUGUAUACACAUCCAAUUUGAAUUUGACUCGCCUUAAACUGUGGCCUCAACCUACAUUUAGAGUGGUGGCCAUUUGUCCUUGGGAUUAAUAAACAACUUGUGUCAAAGGGCCACUGAUGCACCACUGGUUUGUUCUUUCCAUGUAGAAAGAGCAGGUUUUCCAAGCAGGCUUUUCUUUUGACAUUUAUUUUGCUAACAAGAAGAGCCAACAAACAUAACAUAAUUCCUAUGCCUGUCUUUUUACACUGCUUAAAACUAUGUUUAUUUAAUGAAAAGAUGGUACAGUUGGAAACUGAGAGUGCAUAGAAUAUGUAUGUUAAAAACAAUGUUAAUGCUAAACUUAAAAGUGUGAAAUGACAAUGUCAAAAAUCUAACUCAGUUCAUUCUGAGGGUCUUUUCCCUCUUAGUUGAAUGCACUUUAGAUAAAAACAUGAGCUAAAUGUGAUAGUCCCAAAGGAAAAAUGUAUGUGGCUUCAUCUGCUUGAAUAAUUUGUUUGUUUUAAUUAACUAUUUAAUAUAUUGAAUAUGUCAGUUUCAUAUUUGAGGCUCUAGAAUAUUGUGCCAAUGUGCCAGUAUUAUUUCAGAUGGGGAAAGUAUAGAGAGCAAUGCUAUUUUAUAUUCUGUUUUUGACAGAGUUCUUAAAACUUGGAGAAGGUUAUUGAGGUUAAAAUUGCUCCCGUUGUACUUAAGUUACAAAAUAUCUUUCUUGUGUCUAAUGCAGCCGACGGUGAGAUUUUGCAGGAGUUUAACUAUUUGAUUGGUUAUGCCUGUGCCGAUUACUCAAAAGACUAUUAGUCAAGUAUUAAGAGAUAAUGGAUGCCAGUUUGACCUGUCAGUAGUUCAAGAGAUAGCCAGAGCGAUCUGUGAGACAAACCUUGUUAGAAGCAAUUGGUGAAACAGGUCUACUUUCCAGUGCCUGGAGGAGAGAGGUUUACUUUGAUGUAGUGGAACCAGUAGGCAAGUCAAGGCAAGGCAAUUUUAUUUGUAUAGCACAUUUCAACACCAAGGCAAUUCAAAGUGCUUCACCAGUAGAAUAAAUACUCAAACCAAAAAGAUAGUAAGUAAUACAAAAAUAAGUAAUUCCAAAAUAUUUCAAUUUUAAAGCCUUUGCUGCUAAUUCAACAUUUUGUAAAUGUGCUCCUUUCCAUUUCCGAGAGACAUCAAUUUCAGAUUGCAAAUCAUUUACAUGCAUGUAGCUUUACGAGACCUCCAUUGGAAGUGGCAAACGUUUCAACUCUUCACAUUGAUGUUCUUAACAAGGAGAUCUCAAAUUCCGUGAAACAAAAGUCUUCAACCAUGGGCAUGAAAGCUUGGCCAAAAGUGUGGCGUACAAUGGACUAAACUACAGGUGUGUGAUGAUUUUGAUCCAUGGCUUACUCAGUGCACGGCCAGAGUUUGUUAAAAGCAUCUAAAUGGUGCUAUUGCAAAACAGCUUCAUCCUUGUUGUGAAGAAGCUCAGCCUGUACGAUUAUAAAUAAAUGAUUUGAAUAAUCGUUUUCAAUGUGUGGCGAGUGAGGAAAUGUCCUUCCUGAGCUACCGUAGGCUCAGGCAGUCUUUGGUACCUCCUACUUCCUGGUUCACCCAUUAGAACGGGUAUAAAAGCUGCACAUAAUGAAGCUGCUGUCACCACGCUUGUCCCUUUCUGUGUUUGAGGCUGGCUGGAGAAUCCAAUGAGCUGGGGGUGUUUGAGGCUGUCUGCAGAGUAGCAUCCCAGAUGACUGCUAUGGCUGGUUCCACACACACAGAAUCAAGAUGAACAUUGGAAAAAACAAACUUCCAAAUGGCUUGCCAAAGUCACUAGAUAUCUUUACUGCAAGAUGAAGACAACCUUUAGGUUAAAGGGCAGCCUCUCACUUCAAUACAUGGACCAAGAUUUUGGCAAUUACUUUUUAAUCUACACUCUACCACUGAAUUUCAGGGACAAGUAGCAGGCCAAACGGUUGGUUCAAUAUGCGUUGGGCAAGAAACCUGGUGGAGACCGUGGUGCCAUGAGCGCAAACAAAAGAGUCUUGUAGGACGCAAUUGCUGAUAAUGGGCGGUCGACCAACUGACAGAACCGUACAGGUCAAAGGAGGCUCAUAGAUCUUGGGGAGAAGAUGGGCGAGGCCUGGGCUCUUCAUUAAAGUAUUCUUUGUAUGUAUUUCUUGUCGUGCAGGCUGUGUAAUGGCUCUAAUAAAAUGUCUUUCUAACUGUAAAGAAUGCUUGAGUGUUGAGGCCUGUCCUGAAGAACUAUUUGGAUCCUUUAUCUGCUGUUUGCUGUUGGCCAAUGUGUUAGUAUUGCGAAAUAACGUUAGCCUGUGGGCAAGUAGAUGCCAUCCUGUCAGUGUUCCAGAGAUUUUUCAGAAUGGGUUGUGAUUCCAUGCAGGAUGGUCCAGAGAAGGCAGCAGGCUCCUGCCUUGAGGAUCCCAAGAAGUGGUCAAGCAGUUUCAGCCUCCUGUGACGGUGGAAAUAACCAGCAGUCUUUAGUGAUUUGAGUGAACGGACGGUCCACAGAAGACAACAGGGUCUCAUGUGAAAAUUGCCUGCUGACUGAGAGGACAAUUCGUAGAACAAAACAAGCUCCUGCUUCAGGGGCAAGCAGCUUUAGCCUCCUGUGGAAAUCGCCAAGUUGGCAAUUUCCAC
Non-coding RNA from Gasterosteus aculeatus aculeatus (three-spined stickleback), 2837 nucleotides. The record is from RefSeq and is a predicted model, not a curated record. NCBI's taxonomy places the organism in Eukaryota, Metazoa, Chordata, Actinopteri, Perciformes, Gasterosteidae.